This 21519-nucleotide long non-coding RNA is filed under the name Lathyrus oleraceus (garden pea). RNAcentral's name for it is "Pisum sativum (pea) long non-coding RNA (PSAT_LNC021920)". Lineage: Eukaryota; Viridiplantae; Streptophyta; Magnoliopsida; Fabales; Fabaceae. The record is from RNAcentral.
GGGGUUUAAUUUGUAAAUUAGGGUUUGGGGUUUGAACAUUUCUUGUUACUAUUUUUUGUGUCGAGUUGUUUGGAAUCAAGAAUCGUUGGUGGUGGUAAAAGUUGGACGGAGAGUUGAAUCCUCGUCUUAUUGAGGAUGUCGAUCCGGUUGGAGGAGGACUGUUUCGCUUAAUCCAAAGUCGGAUUCGUGGUCACCGGCAAAAUCUAGAUAGGGUUAGUGUUUGGAGUUUGAGAUUUUGAGUAGUGGUUCGCCGGAGAAGAAGGUAGCGUCGCCGCCGUUGGCCGGCAACCACCGUCUUCUCCGAUAGGUGGUGACCAGGAGUGAUGGUGGGAUAUGAAGAGCAUGUGUUUGCUCUGAGAGGAAGAGAGAGAAGAUUUUGACGAAAGUGGCAUUUUUUUUUGUUAUUUGUUUUAACAAAGGAUUAAGUGGCAAGGGUUUGGGGCGAGUGGCGGUGAGAAGUGUCACCGACUUUGGACACUUGUCACCGGUGAGCAUAGGGAGAACCUUUUGUUCCCAUGCACGAGGGUGCGUUGUGCUAUGGUGCGACCCUCCUUGGCGUUUCUCUGUUUCGAAGACCAAGUCAGAUCUACAGAUCUGACAGUCCGGAGAACACCCCUUGGUCAACACGGUUGACCGGGUCUGCUUGGACCCUUACGUGAAAUGAAUUGGGCCGUUUCUUUUAAGCCCAUUUAUUUUAUUCAUUUCAUUCUGUCUCUCUAUCAGCACCCCCCCCCCCCGGGUUGGAUCAGCAACACCCACUUGGGCUUGGCCUUUACCUAGGGCCCAAUUGUUUUUUUUCUUUUUCUUUUUCUUUAUCCUCUUUUAGCCCAUUUUUAGUUGUUUGCUUAAUUCAAAUAGAGUUUUUAUCCACCAAUUACGUUCCUAUUAUCAUUAUUACUAAUAUCUAAGUUAAUUUUAUAAUUUACCAUUAUUUAAUUAGUUAAUCUUAUUAUUUUUACCAUCCUUUAUUAUUUGGAUAUAAUUUAGGUAAUUACUCAUUGUGUGAAGUUUGUGUACAAUAUUAUUUUGUGUUUAUCAAUUCAUUUGUACAAAUUCUUGAGUACACAUGUAUGGUGUGCUACAAUUGUGACAAGUUAUUUCAAUUUCACCUAUUUAAAAAACAUUCCACUCAAUUUCAAGGAUAAACCAUAAACAUCUCGAUUCAAAGUUGAGCCCAUUUUAAAUACCUUUGUAAGUCGAUCGCUUUUAAAACAUCGCCAUCAACCUCACAUAGCUUACUCUUGGGCUUUCUUACAAUGAUACCUAUUCAAUUUUUAUUUAAUCGAGUAGAAGAACAAUACACUAAAUAAAUUCAUUUCAUUCACAAAGCACCAAAUUAAAACUCGAUCCAAUGUCGAGUAUUUUCACUCAGAAUUAAAUUAACGUAUCCAAUCGCAAUCAAGUACCAUUUCAUUUGGAAAUGAAAAGGGGGAUGACUUUGAGUUUUCAAUUCUUCUCCUCGAUUAUUUGAAUACGAGUUCCCUUACUCGGUUAGUCAAAUAGUCGUCGCUUCUAUCCACCUAAGCACAAACAAAUUGAAUCAUUCUUAUAAUAAGAAACGAAAAGGGAGAUGACUUUGAGUCUUCAAUUUUUCUCCUCGAUUAUUUGAAUACAAGUUCUCUUACUUGGUUAGUCAAAUAAUUGUCGUUCCUCUACAAACUUCCAAACCCCGAAACGAAAAGGGAGAUGACUUUGAGUCUUCAAUUUUUCUCCUCGAUUAUUUGAAUACAAGUUCUCUUACUUGGUUAGUCAAAUAAUUGUCGUUCCUCUACAAACUUCCAAACCCCGAUUAAAUCAAAACCCUUUCAUAAUAAGCUAAAUGAAAAAGGAGAUGACUUUUAGUCUUCAACUUCUCUCCUCAAUUGGUUGAAUACGAGUUCUCUUACUCGGUCAGUCGAACAAUUGUCAUUUUUCCACAAACAUAUAACUUAAUCAAAUCAUUUUCAUAAAAAACUGUACGAAAAGGGAGAUGGUCUUGAGUUUUCAAAUCCUCUUCUCAAAUGCUUGGAUAUGAGUUGUCUUACUCGGUCAUUCAAGUACUUGUCGUUCAUUCUAAAAUACAUCAACCAUACACCACCUUAUUUUCAUAACUACUCAGAUGAAACAAAAAGUGGUCUAGAGUCUUCUAUUCCCUUUCCCGACUAUUAGGAUACGAGUUGUCUUACUCGACUAUCCGAGUAAUCGUCAUCCAUUCAAAACACCUUAAUUAUCAUUAAAUUCUUUUUAUAAUUAAGGAUGAAAAAGAAAGUGGUCUAGAGUCUUCUAUUCCCUUUCCCGAAUAUUAGGAUACGAGUUGUCUUACUCGACUAUCCGAGUAAUCGUCAUCCAUUCAAAACACCUUAAUUAUCAUUAAAAUCUUUUUAUAAUUAAGGAUGAAAAAGAAAGAGUUAUAGAGUCUUCUAUUCCCUUUCAUGGUUAUUAGGAUACGACUUGUCUUACUCGGCUAUCCAAGUAAUCAUCAUCCAACCAAAAAUAUCUCAACACAUCAAAUAUAUCCUUUUCUUUCCCUAAUGAGAUCGAAACCAAUCAAAACAUCCAACACGUCAAUUCAAUUCGUCACCCCUCGCGUGACCGAAACCUUUCUUUCAAAAAGAACACUAUCAAUCCUUUCUAAUUCGCACAAUAAACUAGUGCUAGAGCCUCCACCGAGAGUAGACAAGCCAACGUUUAGCCUUUAGAACGCCGACCUACAUAGUCGUUCAUCAAACAAAACACCAAUUAUUCGUAGUAGCCCGAACUACGAAUGCUUUGAUUUCCUUAUUGCACCAUAAGUAUAUGUAGGAAGGAGAUUGCAGUAUCUUCGCGAGCACACUAAUAAAAAACCUCGAUUUUCCCCCUUCUGUGGUCUUCAUCCAUAUUUAUUAUCAACAUUAAUUACUCGAAUAAAACAAACAAACAUUCAGCUAACACUCAAAUCAUAAAAUUAAACUAAAAGGUACCCGUUGAGUACAACGGACAUGAGGGGUGCUAGUACCUUCCCCUUGCGUAAUCCACUCCCGAACCCGAGUAUGGUUGCGACGACCAUUAUUCCAUUUUCUUAAAGGUUUUCACGAUAAAUUCCUAUUCCUUCAUUGGAAUGAAUAAAGUUCGGUGGCGACUCUGUUCGAACUAAACAUUUUUCCGAAUUCCAUCGCGAGGGAUCGCAUUUUUUUGAGGUGCGACAGACUGACGACUCUGCUGGGGACCCAUGCUCCAAGCAAGAGAGAGUGAAGCGUAGCUUAGUUUAAUUUUUGUAUUGAAUGCUAAUCUUGUUUGUUUGUUUUUUAUUUUUAUUCUGUUAUUAUUUUGUUGUAAUUAUUGUGUUGUGGUUUAUUUCCUGUGACACUAUUGGGGUUCUCUGAUUAUUGGUACUAUGUGAGAUAGGCUCUCUACCCGAGUCUGAGAAAAAAUAUAAGUUUAAGUUGGUGGUUGCAUAGUGAACGCCCACAAGGAGUCUUCCUUGUUGGGAAGAUACGAAGACCCCGCCUAGAGGAGAUUCUCUUGAGAUAUUAUUGUCCGACGAGCCUUCGUCACGGUGAUGGUGUUUCAAGUUGGAUCAAUGACUCUAGGGACCUUUUAACCCAUUAUAUCCGGAGGCUAUGUAGUAUUAACCUACGAAGUUUCAUACUUGUGGGGUUAAUACGAAAACCCCAAUCAGAUGAGAUCCCUUGUGUAGCGGGGUAUUCGUUACCUUUAGAUUUAUUAACUAAAUCAAAAGUAAAUCAUACAAUUCGAGUCGCCACCGCAUUUCUAUUUAUCCAAAGGAAAGGUUAGAAAGAGAACAAAAACCGAGAAGUUUUAUCGAAUCAAAAACUAAUAAAAAUGUCAGAGAUCGGGGUAAGGGGGUUGGUUAUGCAAUGGGAAGGUUUUAAGCAAGUUAGAAAGAGAACAAAAACCGAGAAGUUUUAUCGAAUCAAAAACUAAUAAAAAUGUCAGAGAUCGGGGUAAGGGGGUUGGUUAUGCAAUGGGAAGGUUUUAAGCACCCAAAACAUCCUAGGUACUCUUAUGAAGCCCUUUUCACAAUUUGUUGUAAGGUAGGUUGGUAUUUGUGAAAAUUAUUUGUGCAAACAUGAUUGGGGAGAUGAGAGAAGAAUAUACAAGUUAUUUACAAUUUUCUGUUUGAAUGGAUAAACCCACUGCCUACGUACCAUCUUAAAAAGAUUAGGAUCAAAACCUCAUAGUUCGGGGUAAAAAUCUCAAAAGAAGUUGGUGAAUUGAUUGGUCUAAAAGCCUUAAGGUAUUUUGUUAUCCAAGGGAGAAAACUCAACCUAAAGCCACAAAUCCACCAUGUGAGGAUAGCUUCAACAUGCUAGUGAGGGGUUAACUCUGUAAUAAGCAUGGAAGACUCAUUGUCCAUCACUAAGGAUAUAGGUGAGUAUUAUAUCUACCUCAAGGAUAACUCAAACCUAAUAGCUAAUGGUUAUGAAAUUUUUUGAUAAGAAAGUGUUCAUUGAAACCAUAAAACAUUUGAGUGAGUUAUAUUUACCAAUGAAAAGUAUUUAUAAAAUAUGGUCAAAGUUGACUUAAAGAUUUAAUUCAAAAUAAGUGUUAUGAAAAGAAGUUUGAAAAUCAAAAGCAUAAUGCUUAGGUUUCUAAUGUUUGAAAAGAAAUGUUAAUGUUUGCACAAAAGUUUUGGCUUUGGUUAGAGUGGAGGGAAGAAGAAGAAUGGCUAAGUCCUAAACAUACAAGAGAUGAAGGAAAAGAAAUAAGACCGCAAAUGGAGUUCCCUUCUUGAGAUCAUAUUGAUGAUCCAAGUAGCUCUCAUCCUUUGGAAUAAGCAAGAAAAUAAGCAAAUACUCAAGCAAUCAAUCAAUCAAGCAAGCUCUUAGGAAUCCUCCAAUGGCUUUUGUAUCUCUCACUUUAGAAGCUCGUGACAAUGGUUCUUCACUUAGGCUCAAAGUUGGAAUCCCUAGCACAAGAACACACACAUCAAAAAGUUCUAUAAUGCAAACAAAGAAUGGACAAGAGGGAUUUUAGAGAGUAGGUCCUUUUAAUCACUUAAGCAUUCUAAAGGCAGGAGGCCUAGUUGCUCUUUGACUUUUAUAGCACUCUAAAGGAAUGAGGCCUAGUUUCUCUUUGACUCCAUUUUUGCAUAGGAAAUGUCCUAAAGUCUAAGUCCUUUUAUCCAUUUGCAAUUGGUUCACAACAAUCAAAACAAAACACAAGCACAAUAAUAUAUAAACAAUUAUGUGCUCAAGUGAGCAAAAGGCAAAUUGCAUUAACAUAAACAUGUGCUCAAAUGAGCAAAGGGCAAAAUCAAAUGAAUAAUAUGUACAAGAAUAUUAAAUUGCAUAAAUGUAAAGUGCAGAAAUUAAAUGUUAAUGGUCAAUAGUUAGAGUUAAUGUGCCAUAAGGCAAUUUAGCGUUAUGUUAAGCAAUCGUAAGUGGACUAAUGUAGUAGUCACACCUAUUUGAGACCGGUCAAUAAAAAUAUAGGCAACAACACAAGUUAGAGAUCUUGAUUAGUGAAUCAAGCUCCUACAACUUGCCAUGCCAAAAGAAGAUGAGAAAUGAUUUUGUAUUAAUUUAGGUUCUUUGUUUGAUUAGGAAGCAACCUAUCCUUAAUGCAAAGCCAUUCACUUGAUCUAUGAUCAAGAUGAAUUAGAUUUGAAUCAAGGAAGGUUAAACCUCCCAUUCAUCAAGGCUAACCACCAAUCUUUAACUCAAGGUCAAACUUCAAAUCCAUUUCAAAUCAACUUUGAAAAGUCCAAAUGGAUCAUCCUAAGUUCAACAAGGUCAAACAAAGUUUGACAAAAAAUUUCAGCAUUUUUAAAAACCAGAAACUAUUUUUAAUCAAUUAAAAAUGUAUAAAAAUAACCUAAUUGAAUUAAAAUCUCAAAUAAAUCUCAAAUCAAUUAAUAAAUUGAUGAGAAUAUUUUUCAUGGAUCCAUCAUCAUUCAAAGAGGUUAAGAAAAUAUUUUUGUAUUUUUUUUAAUAUCAAAAACUAUUUAAAAUGAAUUAAAAACAACCAGAAAAGAUAAAAUUCAUAAAAAAUAUCAAAUGAUAAAAUAAAAAAUAUUAAAAUUCAUUUUUAGAAACUAGAAAUUAAAAGAGAAAUAAUGCAAUUGGUCUCACAUUUUUUGGACUAAUAAUGAAUGAGAUAUGAUUUUUUGAAAUGAAAAUGGAAUAAAAGAAAUAAAAUGAAAAUUGAAAUAAAAAAUAAAAAUGGAAAAAACGUGAGGCGUAGGAUCUAAGCUCAUUAAUUGAGCUGGAAAAUCAGAUUUGGAUCACAUGCGCGCAUCCACCAAACACUUAAGUCAACUGAGCAACAUGUGGCAUUAAAAAAGUCAUAAGAAAGAAGGAUCCAGAUUAGAUCUGGAAAAUGCAUCGUGUGGCCAUGAUUUGAUCUGGAAUUGGGACGGUGGUGUACACCACCGUCUUCUCCGGCGAGACCUCCAACGCCGGUGAGAGUUGCAGACAUGGCAACCUCAACCAAAUGCCACGAUCUAUACAACAAUGGAAAGCUGGGGUGAUGUACAUCACCCCUGUGCCAUCUAUUUUCGCUCUAGGAUUCCAUGGUAAAAGAAAUCAGAGGUUGAAAAUUAUGAUGUUCAACUGAAACUUAAUGGAUUUUCAAAAUUCAAAGCAUCAAUCAGAUGUACAUCACCCCUGUGCCAUCUAUUUUCGCUCUAGGAUUCCAUGGUAAAAGAAAUCAGAGGUUGAAAAUUAUGAUGUUCAACUGAAACUUAAUGGAUUUUCAAAAUUCAAAGCAUCAAUCAAUUUCCUCUGAUGAGAGGACUUCAUCCAACCCAAUAAAUGCAAGAAACAAGUUAUAAAUAAAGAGAUUCGAAGAAGGAAAGUUUGAGCAUCCGCCUUUGAAAUAUGGAUCUGAAAGGCACGAAUUCUCUUAGAUGUUGCUUGCAGUAUGAUCUCAGGAUGAAGAUGAAGCAAGGUCAAGGAACUAUGAGUAUGAAAAUCAACCAAUGAAGUUGAAAUUCUGAUCUGAAAAUUUGAAAAGAAAGAGAGAGUUCCUUUAAGUGAGGCUAUAGAGGGAUUCUUCCAGCAUAACAGGCGUCUUCAGGUUAUCUAAAUGUGAAGCCUAGCACUCCUAUAUAUAGCAAUUGGCAAGGCAAAUGCAUGAACGAAGUGUGUGCAUGGAUGAAGAGGGCCUCCAUGCAUGGGCCUGUACAGGCGCAUGGAGGGCCCAAUUCCAAUUAGAAAUGAAUGCUGAUACCACAUUUGAGUGAAGUGGACGUGCAGAAAUGAUGCAAUCAGCUUGUGCCAUGAGUUUUCAAUAAGUUUCCAAAAAUGCACUAAAAUAUUAUCUUCUUCAAAAAUGAUGCUUCCAAAAAUAAAACAUAGCCUUAUGGGUAAUGGUUGGAAAGGUCUUGACAUGAGAAUCAAUUGUUAUGUUGAACAAAACUUCAUUUUGAAUUGGGAAAUUAAUGAAAAUUGAUCAUGAAGUUGUAGAUAUUUUCAAGACACUCAAUUUGGACUCAAAUUUUGGAUCAUUUGGAUUUUUGAUUAGAAUAUUUUGGGCACUUGAAGUUGGACUUUUUCACAUUUCAAUGCUUUUGGUCCAAAAUGACCUAUAAUGUUUUGCAUUAUCACAUGUAUUUAUUUUAGGAUUUUGAAAAUUUGUUCAACAUAAAAAAUGAAGUACACAUCUUAAAAUUUCCAAUGCACUUGAUCCCACCUCAAAAUCAUGAAAACUGAAUGAGUUAUGUUCUUGGGAAUUUGACCCAAAAUUAGGGUUUCAAUCAAAAUGACCUAUAACGUUUUGAAAUGGAUGAUGACCUUCUAAGCUUCAAAUAAAUUUUUGAUGAACGUGAAAGUUGUUCAUAUGGUUCUUAAGAACAUUUUUUCUCUUGGGGUCAUAUCCAUUUGACAAACAAAUUAAACGUUAGGUCUCAGUGUACUUCAAAAUAGUCAGAUGAAUUGACUGAUCAACUUCUCAAGUCCAUGCCUCAAAUCUUGAUGAAUUGAUGAUUGAGUGUAGCGGGGUAUUCGUUACCAUUAGAGAUAUUGACUAAAUCCAAGGUAAACCAUACAAGUCGAGUCGCCACCGCACUUCUAUUUAUCCAAAGGAAUGGUUAGAAAGCGAACAAAAACCAAAAAGUUAUUGACUAAAUCCAAGGUAAACCAUACAAGUCGAGUCGCCACCGCACUUCUAUUUAUCCAAAGGAAUGGUUAGAAAGCGAACAAAAACCAAAAAGUUUUAUCGAAUCAAAAACUAGUAAAAAUGUCAGGGUAAGGGGGAUUGGUUAUGCAAUGGGAAGGUUUUAAGCAUCCAAAACAUCCUAGGUACUCCUAGGGAGCCCUUUUCAUAAGUGUUGUUCUAGUCUAAAAGGUGUAGGUAUAUCUAAAGUACUAUUUACUAAAAGGAAGGUUAAAAGAAAAUAACUCGCAAGGAUGUCACAUCCACUGCCUUCGUAUCUCAUCUGAGUAUGACAAUCAGAGUCUUCGUAGCUCGGCUACCUAUGGGUUAAAGAGAAGUGUGCUCGGUAAGACGUCGCGUCUUAUGCCUACGUAUCUCAUCUGGAAUGAGAAUCAGAGCAAAAUGUAGUUUGACUAACUAGGGGUUAAGGAUUGCCAUCUGAACAUGGACUUACAAAAGAGGACACCAACUGUGUCAAAGGAGGGUGGGCAUUGUGUUCAACGUCCUAGCAGUAGGUGUCGCAGCUCGCUGAAUCGAGUCUUAGGCAGUUACCUCUUUGCAAUAGAACAGACUGACAUGCCACAAGAUCAGAGACGCAAGGAAGGUCUAAAAAUGGGGAAGCUCUGCUCUAGAGUUGUCAUGCAAUAUGGACCUAUGUGUUAAGAUUUACAAAGGGGAACAUCUACCUAAUGUUAGCAGGCAAAGAAUAAGGGAAUUCUACCUAUGUUAUCAUACAAAGGGUUCUACCUAAUGGGUGCUACCUAAACGGAACAAGAGUCGACGGAUGGAGCGCGGAGAGGAGUUACGGAUAAGGGUAGAUGGCGAUUGGCACAUGCUUAACAAAUCUUGAUUGACGGGCCAGCCAGGCAAGAAAUCUGCCUCUCUUAGAAAUUCAGUCAUGGUGGCCGCCCUUGAAAUGAUGUAUCUGCCUCAACCAUGAUCAAUGAGGGGAUGAUUCGCGAAAGGGAGUGUGGAGGGCUAAGUACACAUGGCCACACGGGUACCAAUUGUUAUGGAAUAAGAGUAUUUUCAAAUAAUGCGCUUGAAGUGAGAGAAAACUAGCCAAGAAGUCUUGAUAAUUUUGAAGAUUUUCGGAUUUAGGAAUUUUCUAAGUGUCUAAACUUUCAUUUGACUAAGCAUAACUUUCUCAAUUCAAUCCAAAUGGAGCAAGCUUUAUAUCUAUAGAAAGCUUUAGAACAAGAGCAACAACUUCCUGUUGGAGAAAUGUUCAAUUGCGAGCUUUUAUCUUGAUGCAAAAUGGGGCUUAAAGUGAGGCAACGAUCAUGAAAACUUCCUAAAUGGAAAGUCAACCAUUUUCCAAAUUAAAGUAACUUUUCCAAUCUGAUUAAAUGAUGAACAUGAUCCAACCUUGAUCAAAGAUUUACAUGUUAGGAUCCCCUAGACAUGAUUUUGAAUUCCACUCUCAAAUGUCGAGGAUAGUUGACUUUUCUGGGCCCCCACAGUUGGACUUUCCAACUGUCGAUUCUCCGAUUCCAUUGAUCAAUUGAAGCACUUCUAGCUCAAAUAAAGAGAUGAUUUUUUGUAUGUGACCUUGUGGCAUNNNNNNNNNNNNNNNNNNNNNNNNNGCCGGAGGAAUGCGACUUACAGGUAGAUGGCGAUGCCUGAGGCAAUCGACUUACAAGAGGAUGGAUGAAUCUGUGCUGGUUCUGUUACGUUUGAAAAUGAUUACUCGACGUUGGAUCAAGCUUUUGAACUUUAUUUGAAAUGGUUAUCGGAUGUUCGUUUAUUUUGUAUUAACAGGUGACUAAAGAAAUAAAGAAAUAAAUAUUAUACACUUUAUGGGAGAGGGGUGCAUUUGUUAUGAAUGGGGAUUGUUCAUGGCAAACAACAAUAAAGAAUAUAUGCCUCAUACAUCAUACAAGUAGACAACAGAUAUCAAUCAGUCGGAUAAAAAACAAUAUAUAAUCAAACAAAAGAAUCAAAUAAUGAGCAUUUAAACAAUGCAUGGGAGUAUGAACAUGUUAAAUAGUCAAGCAAUAGAAAGCAUGAAUGAGAGAAACAAGUAUAAAAGAUAACAGAUGAAAAUAUACACACGAAGGCGGUCACUGAAUAAUUUAAUCAGGAAAUGAGGUAAAGACCAAAUAAAAUCAAGGUAAAAGCCUCUAAUACAUGGCAUAUGAGAUGAACAAGGAGGAUUAAAAGAUCUCUUCAUUGCCAUAAGCAAUCCCUAAGUCAAACAUCGAUCAUAAAGAAGUCAAUUGAAAAUUCAAGUCAUUUAAAAAAUAACAAAUAAAUAGAAAAUAAUCAAGAAAAUUAUGAAAAAAUUAACUAAAUAAGGUGGGUCAGACAUCAUCAUCCCCAAAAUAUUUUAAAAAUAAUCAAAAAUUGGUACGUGAAUUAAUAAAAAUAAACAAAAGUCAAAUUAAAAGUCCACCAACCAAACUAGUGUUAAAAAUAAAUCCAAAUAAAUUGAAAAUAUGAAAUAAAUUCCAAAAAAUCAGGUUGACCAUGAGACAGUGGGUCAACCUUCAUCCAAAAAUCAAAUCUAACAAUAAUUUAAGGUCAUAAAUAAAUCAAUAAAAAAAGUGUGUAAAAUGCGACCAUUUAGAAUAAAUAAUUAAAAUAAAAUAUUAAUAUUAAAAAUACGAAAAUAAAAUUAUAUAAAAUUAAAUAAAACGUUAGAAAGUGAAAAAAUAUUUUGGCUAAUUUUGACGAAUAAAAAUAUUUUAAAUAAGAAAAAGAAAUACGAAAAUGGAAGGAUUAAUGGUGAUGAACAUGGUAAGCAAGCGUAGAUAUAUCAAAACAAAUGGCCAUGGAAGAGAUGAUUACCAUGGAAAAUAGAAGUGUAAAUGGAAUCUGAUAUGUGAUGAAUCUUUUCUCCUUGCCACGAAAUUCCAAUGCUCCUUUAGGGUUAGGGUUUCACUUCUUAAAUAGGGUGGAUUAGGUGUUCUCAUGGGCUUUUUAAUAAGUGAUUAUCCAUAAGAAUAAAAGUGUGAAGUGAGGUGUAAAAAUGUUGUUAUUUGGGCCAAAUUAAGUGAAUGGAUGUCCAAUGCAUGGCCAAAAGAGGUAAAAAACGUGACUGGUUUGUGCAGCAUGCUUAGAAAUCUGAUUGGGCCAGCCAGGGCCAAAAUCUGCCUAGAAAUCAAGUCAUGGUGCCCACUUUAAAUGAAUGUAAUCUCUCAAACCAUGGAUCAAAUGGAGGAUUUUGAUUCCAAAAUGUGAAAGAGUACAUGGCAAGGUACAAUUGUUAUGAAUAAAGUAUUUUCAAAUAAUGCCUUGAAGUGCAGAGAAAACUAGCCAAGAAGUCUUGAUAAUUUUGAAGAUUUUCGACUUUAGAAAUUUUCUAAGUGUCUAAAAAAUCUCACUUUGAUAAGCAUAACUUUCUCAAUUCUAAUCCAAAUGGAGCAAGCUUUAUAUCAUAGAAAGCUUAGAACAAGAGCAACAACUUCCUGUUGGAGAAAUGUUCAAUUGGAGCUUUUAUCUUGAUGCAAAAUGGGCUUAAAGUGAGUGCAACAUCAUGAAAACUUGCCUAUAUGGAAAGUCAACAUUUCAAAUUAAGUAACUUUUCCAAUCCUUGAUUAAAAUGAUGAAUCCUGAUCCAACCUUGAUCAAAUUUACAUGAGGAUCCCCUAGACAUGAUUUUGAGAUUCCACUCUCAAAAUGUCAGGAGUUGACUUUUCUGGCCCCCACAGUUGACUUUCAACUGUCUGAUUCCGCAUUCAUUGAUCAAUUGAAGCACUUCUAGCUCAAAUAAAGAGAUGAUUUUUUGUAUGUAACCUUGUGGACAUAUGGAGGGUAUGGAAAGAGUUUCACCCAAAGAAUCAGAAAUAAACUGCAUGUUUAUACCAAACCCUAGUUUUAGGGCAAAAUGAUCAGGAACUGAUUGCACUGAUGCAAUGGAUCUUUUUGAGAUGAUUGUAAUCUUCCCUAGGCCAAGAUGCCCUCUCAUCAUGACAUGGAUGGGUCCUCUACUUCCAACCAAAUAUUGCCUGUUGCAGGAUCAUGAAACCCUAAUUUCUGUAUUAAAUCCAGAUGAACACUGCUGAUAGCUUUUAAUCAUCACUGAUUGAACUGAGGACCAUAAUAAAUAACUUGGACCCCUGAGACCUUGAGACUUGUAUACUUAGAAAAUGAGAGUCCAUUUCAUUUUCUUUAUGUGGGCUCCUUUUUUUAAGAAGUGAUGAUCAAAACCUGAUCUCCAUGUCACUAAUGCCAAUAUGCAAUGAGUAUGACCUAAUAUGAUGCUAAUGAAGUGUAAAAUAAUCCAUGCUUCCAGGAAAAAUGAAGGGUAAAUUUUGGGGUUUACAUUGAGGAUACUCAAAUAAGCGCUAAAUAUGAUUAAAUUAUGAAUGAAAGAACUUCCCUUGAUUUUAUUGAUCACGGUUGAGGCUGUCUUCAUGAGCAAGGCACGAUGUGAUGCACAGAUGAGAUUAGGAUAUCCUUGGGAAACAAGCCUCAAACCUUUGGUUUGCUUUGAUAAAAAAUGAGAAUUGAGAUACUUGAGAGGCAUAUAUGAUGAUGAGAGCUUUGGGAACCAUUUCCAUGCUUGCUUCCAUUCUUUACCUGGCCAUCAUCACAUGAGCAUAGGGCCUCUAUGAGCCUUGGGUCUUGUGAUUGAUCAGCUAAAAAAAAGAUGUUAGUGACAUAUUUUUUAUGCUUUUGGUUAGUAAACAAAAUAAGAAAAACAAUGAUAACAAUUCAAGCGAUGCUUGUGAUCUCAAACAAACUCACAAGUGUUCCCGCCCAAAAGGUAGGAGCCAAGAUGCUAUUAUCCUUGAGGCAAGAUGCAAAUGGCAAUGUUAUGAUGCCAUGAGGAUCUUAGGGUCAAAAUUAGGGUUUACACCUUGACGUAUUAUUACCUUACAGUAAUACUUCCGACCUCGAUCUAUGACUCUGAAACCUUAUUAGAACCUUGGACUCGAGAGUCGCCAUAGUAGAAUCCCAUGGAAGCUUCCUUGUUGGGACAAUACGAGACUCGCCUAAGAUGAGAUUUCUUAGGAGUAUUACUGUCCGACGAGUCUUCGUCACCGAUAGUGGUGCUCUCAAAGAGAAUCGAUGACUCUGGGAACUAUAACCUUAGGACCUACCCUUGGAAUUCAGUAAUCAGAGAAACUAUGCUUCUCUAUUAUCCUGAUGUACACGACGUGUGAAUGAUUUGAGUUUUGUAUUCCUUGAAAAAACAUGCAGAAGUUCUACAUUGCAUAUCUAAUGCAUUUCAUAUCAUCUUCCAAAAAACAAAAACUUACACCUAUUCUACUUUGUCCAGUAACACUGCUACUCGACACCGGUAGAGACACGACGCAACUACAAGAUGACACUCGAACAACUUGAAGCAAACCAGUUUCGCAUGAGGACCAACAUUGACUCCAUGCAGGCAAAGGAUGGAUCGCUUGCUAAAAACCAUGUUGCUCUUAGGCCAGAAGGAGAAGGAUGCUGAGACAGCGCCAAAAGCCCGAAGAGUUGCUGCUGCAGUUUGGAUCGCCAUCGCUUAGAUCCUGAAGUAACUAAUCUUGAUGGUAUACCCUGCCCAGCUGAGGAGGACCACUCCUUAUUCCUGUUCCCAUGGUUCAACAUGAACCCCCACAAGCAUUUGUACAUCUGCUCACCAUGGAUCCAUGAUGGGUGAUUGAAGAUCCUUAUGACGCUUUCUUCAUGCCACAACCGUAAACCUGCUGUAGGAGGUCUCCCAGACCCAGAUUUGAGAGACUCCAUGCCUGGAAUAGAAAUUCAAGUCCUUGGAGGUUCACAUACUCCCGGUUUGGACGUUCGUUGACAUUGUGCUUUGGUACCCCGCCUCGUUAUUCGCAAAAAUUCAAGUUCCAGACUUGACAAGUACAAAGGAUCAGCUGCCCGAGCAACUCACCUCAGAGCCUUAUUGUCGCAAGAUGGCUACCCACAUCAGUAAUUAUCAACUCUUGAUUCAUUACUUCCAAGAUAAGCCUCAGUGGGGGCAUCCUUGGAGUGGUACAUGCAAUAGAGAGGGGCCAGGUCCAAUCAUGGAGAGGGAUUUUGCUGAAGCCUUUCUUAGGCAUUAUCAAUACAACACGGAUCUAACACCCAAUCGCACACAGCCGCAAGACAUGACUCAACGUAACAAUGGUGUCAUUCAAGACAUACGCAACGGUGGAGAGAGCUUGCAACUCGUGUCCAACUCCUCUUCUUGAUAAGGAGGCUAAUUGAUAUGUUUAUGGGAACUCUGCAUAACCCAAUACAUGGAGAAGAUGGUAGGAUCCAGUUGCCAACUAUGCUACCUUGCGCUGCCAUGCUUCAAGUGGGAUAAAGAAACCAGUAUCGCCAUCUCCAAGGAAGCCAGAAGGGCAUACACAAUGCUAUAAAUAAAGAGGAGGAGGAUUUAUAGCGCACCUCCAGUAUGCUCCUAUUCCUUAUCCUCAGGUUUCCGCUGUCAUCCCCAACACCAUAAUCAACCACCGUAUCAACAACCCUUCCUUAUUAGAGAGGAGGAUAUAGGGAACCUCCAUAUGCUCUUAGCCUUACCAUCAGGUUUCGCUGUCUCCGGGGGAGAACGAACGAAGCCAUAUCAAGAAAGGGAAAGCUACCUUGCGCUGCAAUGCUUUCAAGUGCGGAUGAAGAAACCCUAUCCCAAUCUCCAAGGAAGCCAAAAGGGCAGACCAAUGCCAUAAUGAGAGGAGGAGGAUAUAGGGCACCUCCAUAUGUCCUAUGCCUUACCAUCAGGUUUCCGCUGUCAUCCCAACACCAUAUCAACCACCGUAUCAGGCACCCUAUCAACAACAGUAUCAGCAGCCUUAUCAACCAUAUCUUACCAACCAAAACAUUAGAAUCAACAAUGCAAGUUGCUCUCACAACAACGUAACUACACAGCAGAGUGGCAAAGGAGGCCAGAAAAUCAUUUUGAUGCCAUUGCCAGGUACCAUACAGCAAGAUCCUUCUACCUGCUAAAGGAUGGAAUCAAUUGUUUUGAAGGAGCUAACACCUGUAACCUCCACCUUUAUCUCACCAGGCUUACGAACAGCUAAUGCUCCACACUGCAUAUCAGAUGGGUUAGCCUAGGACACAAAGUUGAGGAGAAUUGCAAUGGCUUUCUAAACACAAGGUCCACGUACAUGCUGAUUGACAGGUAAGGAAUACAUUUACGCAGUUUAGGGCCAAAUGGUUGCAACAAACCCCUGCUGGCGCAUGCCAAGCAUAGUGAAGCUCGAGAUGAAAGCUUCCACCGGCCUGACAGCAGAGCAAUUCGACAGUAAAUCAAGAGAUGAAGGCCAUUGCUUUGAAUUGAGGGCAAUCACUAUGCCAUUUUACAUUUCGCACUUUUGUAAUUUGUUCUUGUUUGUUUAAAGUAUUAAUGCUUUAAACUUGUUAUUUGUAUUGGUCUUAUUAAUAGGAAUGAUUAUGCAUGCUGUGAAUUCAAUUUUUCAUAUUUCACUCAUAUUAUCAAUUUGCAAAACAACACAUACUUUUCACUUCACUUUCUUUAUCACACUAUGUUAGUAAUUUGGAAGGGAGGAGACAAAAAAGAAAUAUCAUAAUUAUUGAUGUUGCUUUCGGAUAAAACCUUGUCGAUAUUGUACAUGCAUUGUUUCAAAUCCCCAAACAUUGGAGAACAUAGGAGUUAAUCCUAGUUCAACCACUUAGAGCUAGAAGUAGGGUUUCUUUCGGAUCUGACGAACACUUACUCUAACCUAGGCAGGGUAGUGUUCAGUUAAUGCUUGACUACACAUUCGAAUACAAGAUUGAAAUAUCCCAUACAAGGAUACCAUAUGAACUUCUUCACACACAUCCUGUAAGUGUCGAAGGAAAUAACCUACAAUCCAUAAAUUUUUCAGUUACUCUUCAAUGACCAAUGAUUGCAGUCACCAAUUUCCAAAAAAGAAAGAGCAAAGAAAGAUGCCUCUAAGUCCAAACUUAAAAGGUAGACUUAGGAUAAAAAUGGGGGGCAUCUGAUUGAUUAAAGUUCAAACAAGCGCGAUCCCUGCAAUUAUGCGAUCAAACACAAACCAAAGGGGACAGAUGAAAAUCCUUAAACAAACAAACAGAGAUUCGGUGACCAUCCAUUACCCAAAUCAAAGGGGUCACAUAACCAUGAAGAGCCAAAUAUGGGAUGACUGUUCAUUCAAUGGGAUCUUACACUGUUGAACUUCUCGUAAAAGUUGAGGUUAUUUAAUUUGCACUGAACGUAGGAUAAGAGAUCAUCAUGAAGAAGGAUGGGCUGAUAUUAAACUGUGAGCCUUAAUUCCUUUGUUUCAAUCACCGUGAACAAGCUCACGUUACAACCCUUAUAAAGACCCUAACUUGAUAAGGUUUAAUCUGAAAGCAUGUACAACGACGGUUGCGUAAGCUGAUCCUUAGACGAUUUGUUAAUAUUCUUAUUCUAGUAUCACUUCCACGCUACGCACAAAUCAAGUACUGCGAAUUGACUUUGAUCCACUCGUCACACACUACCAAAUAAUCAAUGAAUGAAUGUUUUUUUCAAACUAACAUGACUAUUGCAUUAAAACACCAUUUCUUGGAUAACAUCUUAAUGUCAUUCAGUACUUGACAUCGAUGGAAUCCAACAAAGGGAAUCAGAGAGUACUGAUCGUUGGUGCCAACACAAGCAAAAACCAUCUAAUAUAUGAUCAGGGGAUGUAUCCUUUGAAUUUAUGUUUAUUUAAAGUACAAGAUGUGAAAGACAAAUCUUAAGCUCGUGUAUGAUCAGGGAGAGACACUAUAAUACAUCAGUCCAUCGAGCAAGUCCCUUAAAGUGCUAAUCAAGGGGCAGACAUUGCAAAAUUUAGGCACUGGAAAAUAUAAAUCAGCCAUGCAUGGAUAAUCAUCCUAAAGUUUGCCAUUUAAUGGGAAUGUUUUGAUACCCCUAAGAAUGGGGCAAGACAAGUUGAAAGGGGCAAUUCCAUCUAUCUUCAAGUCAGUCAAGCUAGAUUGUUGUCAGACACUGGAAAUCCUGCUGAAUUCACAACAAAAAUGUCGAAAUAAGUGCAUUACCAGUAAACAACAUCAUUACCUGUGACAAGAAUCCUUAGCGGCACGUCGCAGGUGUUAAUGAUCAUGCCGUUGAUUAUGUCGCUAUGUACCAAAGUAACAGGCUGGCCAGGACACUUCAGAAGAAGGAAUUGAGAUCUUCUCGAAGAUAGAUACCAGGUAUCAGCAAUGAGAUCAAACUGGGGCACCAAGAGUAUCCAUAUCCAUUGUGUGAUCAUCGCAUCAUUCAACUACCGAGUGUCGGAAGUCAGAUCCUUUCACCAAAUCAAAGUCCAAGUCACGUUGACAAUUACAAGAAAAUCCAAAAGUCCACCUUGAUGGUAGCUUCAUAAAACAGAAUACCAACCAAACACUGGUUCCAGAGGAUUACAUUUCCUUUGAAAAAAGGGGGCCAUCCCAACAAACCAAUCAUCUUGGCCAUUCAAAACAGGGCAUUUACAUGCAUCAUGUGCAUCAUCUCAAUACAUCUUUGCACGCAUAUCAUUUAUGCACAUAAACACGAAUCAAAACUCCAAGGUUUUAGUCAUAGGCAUCUAGGCCAACCCUCAGUUGAGUCAUUGUUUUUCUCUCAGAGAGAGUUUCCUACCUUGCAUCUGCAGUUCCCCAUGAGUUCAUCUUUCAAAACCUUUUGUUGAUAAGACGUUAUCCUCAAACUAAGUCAAAAUAUUGUUUCUUUAAACAACUUACCUCUGUUUCACGUUGAGCGUCCCUCAAUGAGUCGUUUCCUGUAACCUUUUGUUGAUAGAAAUUACAUCUCCCCAAAGAAUAUUCUUUCUCAACCUUUUGUUGUCGAUACUCCAAGAAGUUUACCCUCGUAAUGUUUCAAUACUACCCAAACAAAUCAGGUUUAUUGACUUUGUCAGUAGCCUUAUUUCCAAUUUUUUUAAGCUAAUCAUCCCUUUUUGGGUAAAGUCCCUUGGUGAAUCAUGAUCACCGUCCUGUUGACGAACUAUAACCGUUAUCCUUUUGGUAAUGGUAAAUCCUUGACAUUUAUGAUCUUACCGUCAUUCCUUGUGGUGUCGUGAUCCUUGAAGUUUUGGCCUAACCUUCUCCUUUUGGUGAAUGUGACCUCUACAAUCAUUACAGCGCUACCGUCAUCCUUUUUGUGUCAGCGAUCCUUGUGUGAUAAGGAUCCUUGUCAUUAUUGGUUCAAUCAGGCAUCCUUUUGGUGAUGAUGUCCAGUCAUCUUAACAGUCAUCCUUUGUGAUAGAGAUUACAGAGUUUGUUUAAGCUAUCAUCCUUUUUAGUUGAGGGUGGGCAUUCGGAAAGUCCAACCCCACUGUCAUCCUUUUGGGGUCAGCAAUAUUUGAAGUUGUUUAUAACUUAUUAUCAUCCUUUUUUUCUGGUGGUAACAAGUUUCGAAGUUAUGAUCUCACCUUACAUCCUUUUUGUGAUGAUUGAUUGUUCGAUUCAUUAUCAUCCUUAUGAGAUGAUAAGAGUCUUGUUUUUGUAAGUUACCUUCAUCCUUUUGGUGAUUGUGACUGGCGCACGUAUUAUCAUCCUUUUGGUGUAACAAGUUUUUUGUGGUUCGAUCUUACCUUCAUCCUUUUGGUGACGGUGAUCCAUAAAAGUUCAUUGACUUAUUAUCAUCGUUUUGGUCGUUAAUGAGUUUUUUGUUGUUUGAUCCUACCUUCAUCCUUUUGGUGAUAGUUGAUCAUUCAAGUUGUACGGCUCAUUAUCAUCCUUUCGUGAUAACAAGGUUUUUUUUGAUCUUACCCUUCAUCCUUUUGGUGAUGGGAUCCUCCUGAGUUGUGUGACUUAUUAUCAUCCUUUUGCGUCCUGGUAACAAGUUGUGUGUUUAAUUUUACCUUCAUCCUUUUUGGGAUGCGUGUCGUUGACUUAUUAUCAUCCUUUUGGUGAUAAUAAUUUUGAAUUUGUUCUCACCUUCAUCGAUUUUGGUGAUGGGGAUCAUUUAAGUGGUUAUGAUCUUCUAUCAUCCUUUUUGGUGAGUUGAUGAGCUAUUGAACCAUGUCAUGCUUGCUUCAUCUUUACCUGGGCCCAUUUCAAUGAGCAUAUUGGGCCUCUAUGAGGCUGGAUCUUGUGAUUGCGCAAGCCUACAAAAAAAAAUGUUAAGUGGACAUAUUGUUGGCUUUUGUUAGUAACAAAAAUAAGAAAAACAAUGAUAUACAAUUUUUCAAGCAUGCUUGGUGAUUCAACUAAUUCACAAGUGUUCCCACCCAAAGGUUAGAGCCAAGAUUGCUAUGAUCCUUUGAGGCAGAUUGCAAAUGCAUUUAUGAUUGCCAUGAGGAUCUUAGGGUCAAAAUUGGGGUCUUUUACAGACGCCCCUUGAUUUUAAGGUUUAUUCUAGCCGGAGAUAUGAAGGUUAAAAAUUCUUCGUCUCGACGAGUUAGAAUGGGCUUAAAUAAUAACAAAGAGGACGAAUUUUGUCCCUAAGAGACCUCAUGAUGAAAUGUAUGUAUGCCCAAAACGUAAACACUUUGUGGGGAUAUGUGUCCACAAAGGAAAGAAAGGAAACAGGAGAAACUGAAAAUCCACAGGAGUGAUAUACUCAUAAAUGGGACAGAGGACUCAGUACUUACCGGGAAGUAAGAUGGAAUGAAAAUGCGUGAGCAGGUCACGACUUAAAUGUUUGCUGAGAGACCGAAGGAAUUUCCAUUGACAUAAAUCAAUAGAAAGACUCGAGCCGAUCAGGGAUGCAUGUAUUGGCGGGAAUAUGCCAAUACAACAAAACUAUCCAUAAAGGACACUUCGGAUAAAACCCGGACUCAGGUGAAGAAAAAAUCCACCAAGGGACUCCAUGGGGAAUGUCCAAAGAGGACUCAGCUGGAUGGAAACAACAGAAUGAGUAUUACCGUACUGGGUAAUAAGCUCAAUGAGACAUGUAAUCAAAUCACCUGGUAUCAGGUGAGAGAACAACCAUCCUCAGGGGGGAAUGAAUAUCUAAAAUCGGUAUGAGGGUGAGAGAUAUCCAAAUUUUCCAAAAACAUCUGGUAAGCCCGAAAGAUACAUUUUCAAACUCAGGAAAAAUCUGACUCCACAUGGGACAAAAAAUCAUAACUAGGGAGCAGAAAGGAAGGAACACUGAGGGAUACCGGUUACUAGGCAUAUUAAUAUGUGACCAACCAGGCGUGAAUUGGGGAAUAUCCCAAAAACCGCAAGGAGGGCUGAAAAAUCAAACUCAAUUGCAGGAUAGCAUCCGAUUCCCAAAAGGGGAAAUACGAAUCUUUACUCGGACUGGGGGAAGAAAAAAAGACUGCGACUGAAGAGCGCAUGAGAGCUAUAUUAUCUAUUACCGUCAGCAGAAACCAUGAGAUAACCAUGCUCGCAUGGAGAUUUUCCAACAAACCGAAGUUAACUGGGUGUAAGAUAAAGAUAAAAAUCGACCGAAAAAAGGAAGGGAAACAAAUCGGGGAUCCGCGUGGACAUAUGGAGGGUCAUGGAAAAGAGUUUCACCCAAAGAAUCAGAAAUAAACUGAUUUUAUACCAAACCCUAGUUUUAGGGCAAAAUGAUCAGGAACUGAUUGCACUGAUUGCCAAUGGAUCUUUUUGAGAUGAUUGUGAAUCUUCCUAGGCCAAGAUGCCUCUCUAAUCAUGACAUGGAUGGGCUCCUCUACUUCCAACCAAAUAUUGCCUGUUGCAGGUAUCCAUGAAACCCUAAUUUCUGAUUAAAUCCAGAUGAACACUCUGAUAGCUUUGAAUCCAUCACUGAUGAACUGAGGACCAUAAUAAGAUACUUGGACCCCCCUGAGACCCUUGAGACUUGUAUACUUAGAAAAUGAAGUCCAAUUCUCAAUCUUUCUUUAUGUGGGCUCCUUUUUUUAAGAAGUGAUCGAUCAAAACCUGAUCUCCAUGUCACUAAUGCAAUAUGCAAUGAGUAUGACCUAAUAUGAUGCUAAUGAAGUGUAAAACAUAAUCCCAUGCUUCCAGGAAAAAUGAAGGGUAAAUUUUGGGAAUCAAAACCUGAUCUCCAUGUCACUAAUGCAAUAUGCAAUGAGUAUGACCUAAUAUGAUGCUAAUGAAGUGUAAAACAUAAUCCCAUGCUUCCAGGAAAAAUGAAGGGUAAAUUUUGGGGUAUUACAUUGAGGAUACUCAAAUAAGCUCAAAUAUGCAUUAAAUUAUGAAUGAAAGAACUUCCCUUGAUUUUAUUUGAUCACGGGUUGAGGCUGCUUCAUGAGCAAGGCACGAUUGAUGCACAGAUGAAUUAGGAUAUCCUUGGGAAACAAGCCUCAAACCUUUUGGUUUGCUUUGAUAAAAAUGAUGAAUUGAGAUACUUGAGAGGCAUAUAUGAUGAUUGAGAGCUUUGGGAACCAUUUCCAUGCUUGCUUCCAUCUUUACCUGGCCAUAUCAAUGAGCAUAGGGGCCUCUAUGAGCCUUGGGUCUUGUGAUUGAUCAAGCUAAAAAAAAAGAUGUUAGUGACAUAUUUUUAUGCUUUUGGUUAGUAAACAAAAUAAGAAAAACAAUGAUAUACAAUUCAAGCAUGCUUGGUGAUCUCAAACCAACUCACAAGUGUUCCCGCCCAAAGGUUAGGAGCCAAGAUGCUAUUAUCCUUGAGGCAAGAUGCAAAUG